RNAcentral lists this ribosomal RNA (490 nucleotides) under uncultured bacterium. RNAcentral describes it as "bacterial SSU rRNA". It matches the Rfam family "Bacterial small subunit ribosomal RNA", at positions 34 to 518 of the family's 1533-position model. The record is from RNAcentral.
CGCUAGCGACAGGCCUAACACAUGCAAGUCGAGGGGCAGCACAAGGAGCAAUCUGAGGUGGCGACCGGCGCACGGGUGAGUAACACGUAUGCAACCUGCCUGUAAGCGGGGAAUAACCCGUUGAAAGACGGACUAAUACCGCAUAAUACUAAAUUACUGCAUGGUAAUUUAUUUAAACAUUUAUGGCUUACAGAUGGGCAUGCGCAUGAUUAGCUAGUUGGAGAGGUAACGGCUCCCCAAGGCAACGAUCAUUAGGGGUUCUGAGAGGAAGGUCCCCCACACUGGUACUGAGACACGGACCAGACUCCUACGGGAGGCAGCAGUGAGGAAUAUUGGUCAAUGGACGAGAGUCUGAACCAGCCAAGUCGCGUGCAGGAAGAAUGUCCCUAUGGAUUGUAAACUGCUUUUGCAGGGGAAUAAAGUGCAUCACGUGUGAUGUUUUGUAUGUACUCUGCGAAUAAGGAUCGGCUAACUCCGUGCCAGCCGCGGC